GGGAUGGUUUUACUUUCUACAAUCUGGAGGUAUUUUAGGGAUUAAUAGACAACUCUAAGAUCAGAUAAGAUAUUCUUUUAAUAAUCCCACAGGGGGAAAAUUCCAAAAUGACAGCAGCAUAGUUGUAUAGUUUAUAAACUAUAAUGUGGAAUAUGUUCUUAUGAUGCCUUUAUCUUUGGUUUCAUUGGGGGUUUCAAUCCUCUUAAGCAACUGAAAUCAUUUUCGAGAGAGUAAAAUCCUACAAAGUACAAAACUAGAAUCUGAGAUCUUAAAGCACUUCAUAAUUUCUGGCUUAAUGGCUGCUGUGUGCUUUAUUUUUAUAAAACGGAUGUUGGCAGUACAGGUUUUUUUUUUUAAAAAAGUGGGAUUUCAGAAUUUAAAUGAAAUCAAAGAAUUUAAAUUUGCAAAAAUAAAAAAUGAACAAGAUCAGAUCAUUUACAUAAUUCCAACAAAGGCUGCAGGAAAUGUGCCCCGCUCUUUGUCUCUGUGUUGUAUUUGCAGUGUCGUUAAUCUUGUUCUGAUGCAGCUCUUCAGUUUUUUUCUUUGUUCUCUGACAGAUUUUUUAACUUCUCUUUCACCUUGCCUUACGCGCCUGAAAGAAUCAUCACCUUUUACAACCGAUCCUCCGCUGAACUGAUUAUUUUCAUCAAAAAAUUCUGUGGAGACAUUUCUUAACAAGGAAAUUGGACAUAUCAGAGAUUCUCCAGUUUUUCUCUAUUUUAGUGCAUUUACUCUGAAAAAAAAAAAAAAAAAAGUUUGGAUUAAGUAGUGAGCUUUGUACGGGGACAUGUGCGAACAUUUUCAGGAGAUAAAUUGAAAGAAUUGACUUUUAUACUCAGACUUCUCGCUGAGAUAGAUAUGUAAGUCGAUCUAAAAUUCAAAGAUGUUAAAGUAUGUGACGAACCAGAUGGAAACAAUCAGACCUUUAAAAAGUUGUUCUAUAUCUUGUACGGUACCUUUCAGCUCUGUUUCCGAAAGAUAAUAAUUUAGGGUACAAACAGAUAUAGGUAAAAAAAAAAAAAGAAGCACUUUGUUAUCUCCUGUUAUUCAGCCUUUUUGUCCCACAGAGCCGCAGACACUGUCAGAUUACAAAUGAAGCCUGUCAAAAAUUUUACUGAGUGUAAAAAUUCAUGCUAUCUAUAAAAAACUAGAUUUAAACCAGAUAUCUGCAGAUGGUUCACUUUUUUUACAUCUUUUAUUGGCUGUGAUUAAGCGCUUUGGUUCACAUUUACAGUUUUCAUUUUUUAGACACUCCCUUCCACAAUGAGCUAUUUGUAUUAUUACUUUUAUUAUUUCCCUGGAAGAGACUACUGAGGCAGCAGGUGCGCCUUGUUACCGACAAUGCAGUGUUACAAUCGUAGUCUGCUUCACCAAAAUCCGACUGCGCCCUCAGUCGCUUUACUUUUAUCGUAUUAAGACAACCAUGUCAAAAUCAAACCUAAUCACAGGAGGCUUUGUUGCCCAUAAAAACUGAUUUCACAAACAUCCUGUCAGAGAAAAAUGGUCGCGCGGAAAAUGGACGAGAGGAGUGUGUGACCCCGGCGGCCUUUCUUUCAUGUGGGGUCAGAGGUCAGAUAGAAAUCCAGCUCUCUGUGGAGAGAUUAAAGCCUGUCGCCAAGGUAACAUUUUGUACAACCAGAAUGACAAGGGUCACACCGGGGACCGCCAACUCUUGUAUGGCACACUGACUUUUAUCUUAUAAAGAACCCCCCGUGGUGUUUUAAUCCUUUAUCCAGUUAAUAUAGAAACAGUGCAGAACCGAGCGUUGAUUUGCAUGUGUGUCGGCGCGUGUGUCUUUUCACGCCUGCUCUCCCCGUUUUAACCUUUUUUUGUUGGCCCACAGCGUUUUGUUUGUGAGUCAGCCGAGCAGAGUUGAAGGGUUUGAGCCGUGUCGCCCGGGGUCAGUUGGCUGCAAGUGAAUGAGAUGAAUGAACAUGUGUGUGUGUGGACUCGGGAGGAGGGGGGGGAGAAGAAAGAAGCAAGAUCACCGUGGCCAAGUGUGAGCUGAGGUGGCUGGCACACAGCGCAGUCGGAGGCUCAGAGAAAGUCCGGGUCAUGCUGUGUCACGAAAGCAGAGAGAGCGCUUUGGAUUCAUGUCUAUGUUUGAUGGCUUGAAUUUGAUACGGUCUGUUAAAUAUCUGCUGGUUUCAGCAUAAAAAAUACAAAAUAUGCCACUAUUUUGUUUUAUUUUAGCCUGUUGUUAAGGCUGCGUAACCUUUCCGUCCUUCUGUAUUUGCCAAACACGACGGUUGACUCCUACUAUGUGAACAAGUGACCAUGCAUCAUCUGUCUUUCUUUUCUGUGUGUGUGUGUGUGUUCGUGUGUGGGGUUAAAAGGUGUGGUGGGAGAGCUGUGAGCCGAGGUCAGUCAGUUCCAGCCCCGAGGAGAGCGCCGCCGCGGCCUUGGAACAGUGUGGGGGUGGUUCACUUCCCCUUUCCCUGCCUCACAGCUUCCUGUGAGUGCUUUAACCGUUAACCACACCCUCCUCCCCUGGCCUACAACCCCCCCACCCCCCACCCCCCUCAUAGCGCCGCCACCACUCCUACAGCCAACCUAGAAAACACCCUGCUUUUACACCAGAUCUCCCCUUUUUUUUUUCCUCCAAGGCCAAUCCACACACGCACACACGCUGAUAAUAGUCCUCUCCUCCUUGUGCUGUAGUCAGUAGUCACACCUCUCGGUUGGUCCCCGACAGUUAUCUCUGUGUUUCACUCUGUUGCUCCAUGUUUGACCCCUGCCAGCUAAUUACAAUGUUAACAUGACUGUAUGAAUGUUCGAGCUGUUUAGGCUCCGUGUUAGAUAAGUCAAGAUUUAAACAGGUUAAUCAUCUUUCAGUUUCAGUCACUUGGAUCUUUCUAUUACACUUGUUAUUCAGUUGAUCUUUGACUAUUAAAUUCACAUCUUUGAUUUCAUUUUUGUCCUCUUUUUUUUUUUGCUUUGUAUCAUCUGAAAAUCAUGUAUGUUGAGUGUUAAAAAGUUCUCCACAAAUAAACAAAAUAAAGUAACUUUUGAUCUAUGAGAACUUCCACCCAGAGCUGGUUUCUCAUCCCAUCAUUAACCAUAUGUAGCUCAUCGAAAAACACUGUAAAGAUUCUGGCUCUGCUCGGCAACAGCUGAGUCACCGCUGAGAGACGUCAGUGAGCAGAUUAUAAAGCAAUUCCCAUUCAUAAUAUUCACACUGCGGUAGUUUACCUCAGUCAUGACAUUCAGGGCCAGUAUCUGACGUGCUGUUAGUACACUGCAGUGCUAUAAGUGUUAAAAAUUAUGAAAAAAAAAGUAAAAUGGGGAACAAAACAGUUAUAAAUCAGAUUACUGUUUCCUGAUUGAGAAGCAUAAUGAAACUCUAGAGGGGCACGGACGAUAUUUUACCUACAUGGAAAUUACAGAAGCCCUAAGCGGACAUGAAUCUAUAAAUCAUAGUUGCAUAGCCUUCCUGUUAUAUACACUUAUCUUGACUGACCAUAAAAUUCAUUAUAUAGCUCCUACUAAUGUAUGUAGUCAGUUUGAAUGAAGGAGAUGAUUCCCAAAGGGUUCAGCUAAGGAGCUCAAUGUGUAGUUUCUGUGUAGUUGUGUAUCUCUUUUGUACCACCUGUUUUCACCAUGAGAAAAAAAGGUAAAAAUACACAUAAAAAACUGCAAAUCUGUGCAGAUAGGAAAUCCACUGUUUAUAAUCUGUGUAUAGAUUUGUAAUCUGAGGGAACAGAUUCGUAAUCUGUGUGCAUGGAUUUACAAUUUGGGUUUGUAAUCCAGGUGCGCAGUGUGGAAAAUCUAUUCACACAGAUUAGGACCCUGUCCUCAUGGAUUUGUCAUUCUUGUGUACAAAUUACCAAUCUGUUUUUAUGUUAUAGAUCCAUACGCACUUCAGACUGUCCACUGAGAUUUACACAUGGCUUGUCUUUUUUCUUGUUCUGGCACCUGGAGGCACUUGCAGUCCUGCCAGCUCUUAAAACUGGAAGAGUUUAGCCCA
RNAcentral lists this long non-coding RNA (3967 nucleotides) under Xyrichtys novacula (pearly razorfish). The record is from RNAcentral. Lineage: Eukaryota; Metazoa; Chordata; Actinopteri; Labriformes; Labridae.